AUGAUGCAACAAAUUUGGUCCGUUGAUCAAGCACAAGCUCUAGCCUUAAAGGCCAAGAGGUUUGUGAGGACAAGAAAGGCAACUAAAGCUCCAUAUCCUCCAUAUCCUCAUACCGAAGGCUCGUCUAGGAGUCAGCCUAAUAGAGUGGAAGAAAAGACGGCUCCACCAAAGGCAAAACGACCCAUCCAGAAGCAAACUAGAGGCAAGGGCAAGUCCAAUGAAGGCCCAAAAUGCUAUAAAUGUGGUGAAGAGGGACACAUAUCCAGCGGCUGCCCACUAAGGAAAUUUGUUAACACAACUAUCCAUGAUGGUGAAGGCGAUGAGGAAGAAUACGUAUCUGAGGAUGUAGAGGGACAAGAGGUCUGUCAAGAAGAACGUGAAGAGGUGGUAUGUGUUAUUCAGCGUCUCCUAUGUUCCACACCACAACCUGACAACACACAAAGGAAGAAAAUAUUUGAGAGCAAAUGCACAGUGAAUGGCAAGGUAUGCAAGUUAGUGAUUGAUAAUUGCAGCUGCGAGAAUCUUAUCUCCCAGAAGUUGGUGAGCCAUUUAAAGCUUGAUACUCAUGAUCAUCCAAACCCCUACACUAUUGGGUGGAUCAAGAAAGGAGUGAAUAUGAGGAUCACCAAACAAUGCAACCUGCCACUUUCCUUGGGCAAGCAUUAUCGCUCAAAUGUGUUGCAUGACGUAGUUGAUAUGGACGCUAGCCAUGUUCUUCUUGGGAGACCUUGA
RNAcentral lists this ribosomal RNA (732 nucleotides) under Triticum aestivum (bread wheat). Its description in RNAcentral is "partial small subunit ribosomal RNA". The record is from RNAcentral. Lineage: Eukaryota; Viridiplantae; Streptophyta; Magnoliopsida; Poales; Poaceae.